GGGCGCAGCCUGAUCCAGCCAUACCGCGUGGGUGAAGAAGGCCUUCGGGUUGUAAAGCCCUUUUGUUGGGAAAGAAAUCCAGCUGGCUAAUACCCGGUUGGGAUGACGGUACCCAAAGAAUAAGCACCGGCUAACUUCGUGCCAGCAGCCGCGGUAAUACGAAGGGUGCAAGCGUUACUCGGAAUUACUGGGCGUAAAGCGUGCGUAGGUGGUCGUUUAAGUCCGUUGUGAAAGCCCUGGGCUCAACCUGGGAACUGCAGUGGAUACUGGGCGACUAGAAUGUGGUAGAGGGUAGCGGAAUUCCUGGUGUAGCAGUGAAAUGCGUAGAGAUCAGGAGGAACAUCCAUGGCGAAGGCAGCUACCUGGACCAACAUUGACACUGAGGCACGAAAGCGUGGGGAGCAAACAGGAUUAGAUACCCUGGUAGUCCACGCCCUAAACGAUGCGAACUGGAUGUUGGGUGCAAUUUGGCACGCAGUAUCGAAGCUAACGCGUUAAGUUCGCCGCCUGGGGAGUACGGUCGCAAGACUGAAACUCAAAGGAAUUGACGGGGGCCCGCACAAGCGGGUGGAGUAUGUGGUUUAAUUCGAUGCAACGCGAAGAACCUUACCUGGCCUUGACAUGUCGAGAACUUUCCAGAGAUGGAUGGGUGCCUUCGGGAACUCGAACACAGGUGCUGCAUGGCUGUCGUCAGCUCGUGA
RNAcentral lists this ribosomal RNA (701 nucleotides) under Stenotrophomonas sp. RNAcentral describes it as "bacterial SSU rRNA". It matches the Rfam family "Bacterial small subunit ribosomal RNA", at positions 373 to 1065 of the family's 1533-position model. The record is from RNAcentral. Lineage: Bacteria; Pseudomonadati; Pseudomonadota; Gammaproteobacteria; Lysobacterales; Lysobacteraceae.